AAGACUUUAAGUUAAAUUCUUAAACUAUUAAUUUUCAAAAUUAAAUAUAAAAUUAUUUUUUAAGUCUUA
Molecule: transfer RNA, 69 nt
Filed under: Cheumatopsyche charites
Lineage: Eukaryota; Metazoa; Arthropoda; Insecta; Trichoptera; Hydropsychidae
Description: tRNA-Trp
Source: RNAcentral